UACGGAGGGUGCGAGCGUUAAUCGGAAUUACUGGGCGUAAAGGGUGCGUAGGUGGUUAAUUAAGUUAUCUGUGAAAUUCCUGGGCUUAACCUGGGCAGGUCAGAUAAAACUGGUUGACUGGAGUAUGGGAGAGGGUAGUGGAAUUUCCGGUGUAGCGGUGAAAUGCGUAGAGAUCGGAAGGAACACCGGUGGCGAAGGCGUCUACCUGGCCUAAUACUGACACUGAGGCACGAAAGCGUGGGGAGCAAACAGG
This 253-nucleotide ribosomal RNA is filed under the name uncultured bacterium. Its description in RNAcentral is "partial 16S ribosomal RNA". It matches the Rfam family "Bacterial small subunit ribosomal RNA", at positions 524 to 776 of the family's 1533-position model. The record is from RNAcentral.